This 88-nucleotide transfer RNA is filed under the name Bacteroides sp. CAG:1060. RNAcentral describes it as "transfer RNA-Leu(CAA)". It matches the Rfam family "tRNA". Rfam says of the family: Transfer RNA (tRNA) molecules are approximately 80 nucleotides in length. Their secondary structure includes four short double-helical elements and three loops (D, anti-codon, and T loops). The record is from RNAcentral. Lineage: Bacteria; Pseudomonadati; Bacteroidota; Bacteroidia; Bacteroidales; Bacteroidaceae.
GCCCGAGUGGCGGAAUUGGUAGACGCGAUGGACUCAAAAUCCAUUAUCCCUUAAAGAUGUGCCGGUUCGAGUCCGGCCCCGGGCACAA